This 68-nucleotide transfer RNA is filed under the name Phaeobacter piscinae. RNAcentral's name for it is "tRNA-Ile". The record is from RNAcentral. Lineage: Bacteria; Pseudomonadati; Pseudomonadota; Alphaproteobacteria; Rhodobacterales; Roseobacteraceae.
CAUCGCCAUGGGCAGUCAGGCCGGGGAUCUCUAUAUGAUCCCUUACGGGUUCUAUCUUCGGGCGAUGU